This 1028-nucleotide ribosomal RNA is filed under the name Salmonella enterica. RNAcentral describes it as "bacterial SSU rRNA". It matches the Rfam family "Bacterial small subunit ribosomal RNA", at positions 515 to 1533 of the family's 1533-position model. Lineage: Bacteria; Pseudomonadati; Pseudomonadota; Gammaproteobacteria; Enterobacterales; Enterobacteriaceae. The record is from RNAcentral.
CCGCGGUAAUACGGAGGGUGCAAGCGUUAAUCGGAAUUACUGGGCGUAAAGCGCACGCAGGCGGUCUGUCAAGUCGGAUGUGAAAUCCCCGGGCUCAACCUGGGAACUGCAUUCGAAACUGGCAGGCUUGAGUCUUGUAGAGGGGGGUAGAAUUCCAGGUGUAGCGGUGAAAUGCGUAGAGAUCUGGAGGAAUACCGGUGGCGAAGGCGGCCCCCUGGACAAAGACUGACGCUCAGGUGCGAAAGCGUGGGGAGCAAACAGGAUUAGAUACCCUGGUAGUCCACGCCGUAAACGAUGUCUACUUGGAGGUUGUGCCCUUGAGGCGUGGCUUCCGGAGCUAACGCGUUAAGUAGACCGCCUGGGGAGUACGGCCGCAAGGUUAAAACUCAAAUGAAUUGACGGGGGCCCGCACAAGCGGUGGAGCAUGUGGUUUAAUUCGAUGCAACGCGAAGAACCUUACCUGGUCUUGACAUCCACAGAAGAAUCCAGAGAUGGAUUUGUGCCUUCGGGAACUGUGAGACAGGUGCUGCAUGGCUGUCGUCAGCUCGUGUUGUGAAAUGUUGGGUUAAGUCCCGCAACGAGCGCAACCCUUAUCCUUUGUUGCCAGCGGUCCGGCCGGGAACUCAAAGGAGACUGCCAGUGAUAAACUGGAGGAAGGUGGGGAUGACGUCAAGUCAUCAUGGCCCUUACGACCAGGGCUACACACGUGCUACAAUGGCGCAUACAAAGAGAAGCGACCUCGCGAGAGCAAGCGGACCUCAUAAAGUGCGUCGUAGUCCGGAUUGGAGUCUGCAACUCGACUCCAUGAAGUCGGAAUCGCUAGUAAUCGUGGAUCAGAAUGCCACGGUGAAUACGUUCCCGGGCCUUGUACACACCGCCCGUCACACCAUGGGAGUGGGUUGCAAAAGAAGUAGGUAGCUUAACCUUCGGGAGGGCGCUUACCACUUUGUGAUUCAUGACUGGGGUGAAGUCGUAACAAGGUAACCGUAGGGGAACCUGCGGUUGGAUCACCUCCUUACCUUAAAGAA